UGGGGAAUAUUGCACAAUGGGCGCAAGCCUGAUGCAGCCAUGCCGCGUGUAUGAAGAAGGCCUUCGGGUUGUAAAGUACUUUCAGCGGGGAGGAAAGGAGUAAAGUUAAUACCUUUGCUCAUUGACGUUACCCGCAGAAGAAGCACCGGCUAACUCCGUGCCAGCAGCCGCGGUAAUACGGAGGGUGCAAGCGUUAAUCGGAAUUACUGGGCGUAAAGCGCACGCAGGCGGUUUGUUAAGUCAGAUGUGAAAUCCCCGGGCUCAACCUGGGAACUGCAUCUGAUACUGGCAAGCUUGAGUCUCGUAGAGGGGGGUAGAAUUCCAGGUGGAGCGGUGAAAUGCGUAGAGAUCUGGAGGAAUACCGGUGGCGAAGGCGGCCCCCUGGACGAAGACUGACGCUCAGGUGCGAAAGCGUGGGGAGCAAACAGG
RNAcentral lists this ribosomal RNA (429 nucleotides) under Chloroflexota bacterium. RNAcentral describes it as "Chloroflexi bacterium partial 16S ribosomal RNA". It matches the Rfam family "Bacterial small subunit ribosomal RNA", at positions 355 to 776 of the family's 1533-position model. The record is from RNAcentral. Lineage: Bacteria; Bacillati; Chloroflexota.